This 164-nucleotide ribosomal RNA is filed under the name Trichocentrum stramineum. Its description in RNAcentral is "5.8S ribosomal RNA". It matches the Rfam family "5.8S ribosomal RNA". From Rfam's summary of the family: 5.8S ribosomal RNA (5.8S rRNA) is a component of the large subunit of the eukaryotic ribosome. It is transcribed by RNA polymerase I as part of the 45S precursor that also contains 18S and 28S rRNA. Functionally, it is thought that 5.8S rRNA may be involved in ribosome translocation. The record is from RNAcentral. Lineage: Eukaryota; Viridiplantae; Streptophyta; Magnoliopsida; Asparagales; Orchidaceae.
GACAGGACUCUCGGCAAUGGAUAUCUCGGCUCUCGCAUCGAUGAAGAGCGCAGCGAAAUGCGAUACGUGGUGUGAAUUGCAGAAUCCCGCGAACCAUCGAGUUUUUGAAAGCAAGUUGCGCCUGAGGCCAGCCGGCCAAAGGCACGCCCGCCUGGGCGUCAAGC